GAAUGAGUUGGCAGGGACCUAUUCCAGAAAGGCCACUCCCGGCAUUGUCCUCAACUGGAGCCCUGGCCUACCUUUCACCAAGUUGCCCUUGACCCUCAGCCUGGUGGAGCUGACCGAGGAGAUCCUGAAGCUGCUGAUGGAGCUAGUCUUCCGCCUUGUGUGCAGUGGAGAGCUCAGCCUGGCCCGCGUGCUCCGGAAGAAUAUACUGGACAAGGUGGACCAGAAGAAGCUGCUCAGGUGUGCCCAUUCCGACCAGCCUCUGGCAGCCAGGGGUGUCGCAGCCAGGCCAGGGACCUUGCAUGAUUUCCACAGCCACGAGAUAGCAGAGCAGCUGACACUGCUGGACGCUGAGCUUUUCUACAAGAUAGAGGUAUGUGCUGAGUGGCCCUGCCAAGGACAGCAGCUCUUGCCUGGAAGCUGCUGCUGCUGACUGUCCCUAAGAAGAGCCCUCACCCCAGACCCAGGAACACCACAAACUGAAGUGUCAUCUGUUCUGUUUCCACCCAGAUCCCUGAAGUUUUGCUUUGGGCCAAAGAGCAGAAUGAGGAGAAGAGCCCCAAUCUGACCCAGUUCACGGAGCACUUCAACAACAUGUCCUACUGGUAAGAAGGGGCCACAGCACUUGCUCAGGUGGUCUGGGUGGGCCAGUCCAAGCUUCCUGGGCAGAGAGGUUGAAUGGUCAGUCCUGAGCCCUUUCCAGGGCCCAUGGGCCCUGGCCUUGAACUGUGGGCAGCAGAGAGAAGAUAGGGUGGGUUGGCCUCCUGCGGAGCUGGUUGAGGAGGCACCAUAGGCUCUGCCGUGCAGGGAAGAGUGCCAGAAUUGACUGGUGAGCCCUGCUGUGA
This 842-nucleotide long non-coding RNA is filed under the name Cricetulus griseus (Chinese hamster). RNAcentral's name for it is "lncRNA (ENSCGRG00000024481.1)". The record is from RNAcentral. Lineage: Eukaryota; Metazoa; Chordata; Mammalia; Rodentia; Cricetidae.